RNAcentral lists this transfer RNA (75 nucleotides) under Alphaproteobacteria bacterium. RNAcentral's name for it is "tRNA-OTHER". It matches the Rfam family "tRNA". Rfam says of the family: Transfer RNA (tRNA) molecules are approximately 80 nucleotides in length. The record is from RNAcentral. Lineage: Bacteria; Pseudomonadati; Pseudomonadota; Alphaproteobacteria.
GCGGGUGUAGCUCAACGGUAGAGCAAGUAGUUUCCCAACUGCCGGAUGCGGGUUCGAAUCCCGUCGCCCGCUCCA